CCUACGGGAGGCCGCAGUGGGGAAUAUUGCACAAUGGGGGAAACCCUGAUGCAGCAACGCCGCGUGAGUGAAGAAGUAUUUCGGUAUGUAAAGCUCUAUCAGCAGGGAAGAAGAUGACGGUACGUGAGUCAGAAGCCCCGGCUAACAACGUGCCAGCAGGCGCGGUAAUACGUAGGGGGCAAGGGUUAUACGGAUUUACUGGGUGUAAAGGGAGCGUAGAGGGUGAGACAAGUCUGAAGUGAAAGCUCGGGGCUCAACCCCGGGACUGCAUUGGAAACUGCCUGACUGGAGUGCAGGAGAGGCAAGCGGAAUUCGUGGUGUAGCGGUGAAAUGCGUAGAUAUUAGGAAGAACACCAGUGGCGAAGGCGGCUUGCUGGACAGUAACUGACGUUGAGGCUCGAAAGUGUGGGGAGCAAACAGGAUUAGAUACCCUAGUAGUC
This 440-nucleotide ribosomal RNA is filed under the name uncultured bacterium. RNAcentral describes it as "partial 16S ribosomal RNA". It matches the Rfam family "Bacterial small subunit ribosomal RNA", at positions 338 to 795 of the family's 1533-position model. The record is from RNAcentral.